This 253-nucleotide ribosomal RNA is filed under the name uncultured bacterium. Its description in RNAcentral is "partial 16S ribosomal RNA". It matches the Rfam family "Bacterial small subunit ribosomal RNA", at positions 524 to 776 of the family's 1533-position model. The record is from RNAcentral.
GACGUAGGUGGCGAACGUUAUCCGGAAUUAUUGGGCGUAAAGGGUGCGUAGAUGGUUUAAUAAGUUAGCGGUGGUAAAUCGAGGCUCAACCUCGUGGAAGCUGGUAAUACUGUUAGGCUUGAGUGCAGAAGAGGUUAAUGGAACUCCAUGUGGAGCGGUAAAAUGCAUAGAUAUGACAUAGAACACCCAUUGCGAAGGCAGCUAACUACGCGAUCAUUGACGCUGAUGCACGAAAGCGUGGGGAUCAAACAGG